Cavia porcellus (domestic guinea pig) is the source of this 70-nucleotide non-coding RNA. The record is from Rfam. Lineage: Eukaryota; Metazoa; Chordata; Mammalia; Rodentia; Caviidae.
GGGCAUUUAGCUCAGUGGCAUAAGCGUCUGUCUUGAAAGCAGGCAGUCAUGAGUUCGAUCUCGAUCCCCG